UCAGGGGGAACCUGAGCGCGAUGCCGCGUGAGUGAAGAAGGCCUUUGGGUUGUAAAGCUCUUUCGUCGGGGAAGAAAAUGACUGUACCCGAAUAAGAAGGUCCGGCUAACUUCGUGCCAGCAGCCGCGGUAAUACGAAGGGACCUAGCGUAGUUCGGAAUUACUGGGCUUAAAGAGCACGUAGGUGGUUAAAAAAGUUGGUGGUGAAAUCCCAAGAGCUUAACUCUGGAACUGCCAUCAAAACUUUUUAGCUAGAGUAUGAUAGAGGAAAGUAGAAUUUCUAGUGUAGAGGUGAAAUUCGUAGAUAUUAGAAAGAAUACCAAUUGCGAAGGCAGCUUUCUGGAUCAUUACUGACACUGAGGUGCGAAAGCAUGGGUAGCGAAGAGGAUUAGAUACCCUCGUAGUCCAUGCUGUAAACGAUGUGUGCUAGACGUUGGAAAUUUAUUUUCAGUGUCGCAGCAGAAGCGUUAAGCACACCGCCUGGGGAGUACGACCGCAAGGUUAAAACUCAAAUGAAUUGACGGGGACCCGCACAAGCAGUGGAGCAUGUGGUUUAAUUCGAAGAUACGCGCAGAACCUUACCAACACUUGACAUGUUCGUCGCGACUUUAAGAGAUUAAAGUUUUCGGUUCGGCCGGACGAAACACAGGUGCUGCAUGGCUGUCGUCAGCUCGUGUCGUGAGAUGUUGGGUUAAGUCCCGCAACGAGCGCAACCCUUACUUUUAGUUGCCACCAUUUAGUUGAGCACUCUGAAAGAACU
This 759-nucleotide ribosomal RNA is filed under the name uncultured Pelagibacterales bacterium. Its description in RNAcentral is "bacterial SSU rRNA". It matches the Rfam family "Bacterial small subunit ribosomal RNA", at positions 371 to 1150 of the family's 1533-position model. The record is from RNAcentral. Lineage: Bacteria; Pseudomonadati; Pseudomonadota; Alphaproteobacteria; Candidatus Pelagibacterales.